Molecule: long non-coding RNA, 549 nt
Filed under: Apis florea (little honeybee)
Lineage: Eukaryota; Metazoa; Arthropoda; Insecta; Hymenoptera; Apidae
Description: uncharacterized LOC116415331, transcript variant X2
Source: RNAcentral
GGAAAAAUUCCAAUAUGGACGCCAUCAAGCUUUUUUUCUUCAACGACGACGUGAGAAUUUUUGCGGCCGCGUGCAAUGUGGUCAGUAGAAUCAGUGUUUGCUUCGUAAGUUUUUUUAAUCUAUCGUCAAUGAAUACGUGAAAUUAGAGUCAGUGUUUGUUCGUUAAUUAUAAUUUAAAUUAUAUUGCAUUUAUUUAUAAAAUAUAUGUUUCGGGUAUAUAUUCGAGUCAGUGUUUCUCUUAAAAAGAGAAAGCAAUCAUUUGAAAAGUUUUAUGAUUUCCUGUUACAUGAUGAUAAUCUUCUUAAUAAUUUCUGGACUACGACAACAAUGAAAGCGUUCGUCGCAUCAUAUGGUGAGUCGCAUGCUUUUUGAUUCCUCCGAUUACUCAACCAUGUCGUAGGAUGAAAGAUCCGAAUCGACACGAGUGAUUGGUUGUAUACGUAGAAUUUUACACGAGCAUAGUGACCAUGGAUAUUUAUUAUAUUCGUGGGUAGUAACAUUUUCUUUGUACAUGUUUUAUUUAUUAGAUUAGGCUAGGUCUUCUUGUGC